Molecule: transfer RNA, 73 nt
Filed under: Trachymyrmex septentrionalis
Lineage: Eukaryota; Metazoa; Arthropoda; Insecta; Hymenoptera; Formicidae
Rfam family: tRNA
About the family: Transfer RNA (tRNA) molecules are approximately 80 nucleotides in length.
Source: Rfam by way of RNAcentral
ACCUCGAUGAUCUAAAGAUUUCGAAUACUCGCCCGGAAAGCAAGAGAUCCAGGUUCGAUUCCUGGCCAAGGUA